This 529-nucleotide ribosomal RNA is filed under the name uncultured bacterium. RNAcentral describes it as "bacterial SSU rRNA". It matches the Rfam family "Bacterial small subunit ribosomal RNA", at positions 28 to 526 of the family's 1533-position model. The record is from RNAcentral.
GACGAACGCUGGCGGCGUGCUUAACACAUGCAAGUCGAACGGAGAUAUUUAAAAGCUUGCUUUUAAAUAUCUUAGUGGCAAACGGGUGAGUAACGCGUAAACAACCUGCCUAGUAGAUGGGGACAACAGUCGGAAACGAUUGCUAAUACCCAAUAAGCUUUUUAGUACGCAUGUAUUAAAAAGGAAAAGGUGGCGAACUUAGAGUGCUAUCGCUAUAAGAGGGGUUUGCGUCUGAUUAGCUAGUUGGAGAGGUAAAGGCUCACCAAGGCAAUGAUCAGUAGCCGGUCUGAGAGGAUGAACGGCCACACUGGGACUGAGACACGGCCCAGACUCCUACGGGAGGCAGCAGUGGGGAAUCUUCCGCAAUGGACGAAAGUCUGACGGAGCAACGCCGCGUGAGUGAAGAAGGUUUUCGGAUUGUAAAGCUCUGUUAAACGGGACGAAAGAGCUAUAUGUGAAUAAUGUAUAGAAGUGACGGUACCGUAAGAGAAAGCCACGGCUAACUACGUGCCAGCCGCCGCAGUAAGAC